ACCAAAGUCAACAUCUUCCAUUAAUUCAAGAAACCCAAUCCACAAAUAAGCUAAAUUUGAUAAAAUGGCUUCAAUCAUUUUUCUAACAAUCCACAACUACAACAAUACCUUCUACAAUUACACGACAAAAUCUUUGCAUGCAUUAAACCAAGAGAAACUAAGAAGAUUCAUAUGCUUCUAAGUUCUAAACAGGAAAGUCACAACAAACAAAUUUAGUCAGCAAGCUGUUGUUGAUCUUUACUUGAUGACUGCCAAUCUUAUACAACUGGAUGACAAAAUUCUUAUGUUUUGAACCCAAGUCGAAGUAUUGGACAGCUAUGCUUCCUGGUAAGGCAAGUUAAGGUUUAGAAUAAGUUAUUGGUGACGCAGAUCUACCCUUCCGGUCAGGAUCUACCACUAAGAAAAAUACAAAUACCAUGACAUACCAUCAAGAUUAAUUAUCUAAAUUAUAACCAAACCAAAAAAGAUUAAUCAUCUAAAAUACGACCUCAAAAUUCUAGCUUUUACACAUUUAAACUGAUUAUAUAAUUAACACUUUUUUUUUCUUUUGAUUCAGGCAUGCCUAAAAUGAUAGUCCUGCAACUUUAGCUUACUUCAGAGAAGUAGUAGACUGACCGCAUCUAAAUCUGAUCAUCAAAUCCAAAAAUCAUAGCAGGAAACAGGAUCAUAUCAACAAACCAUUUAAGAACCCUUAUCAAGUCUAAAACAACCUAAUACUACUACCCUAAGAACACACGUCUGUUUAAUUUUUAUAAACAUGAUCACAAUAGCUACCGUAUUCAAGCAAAACUUUAAGUUGCAGUGUCUCAUCUAUCAUGAAAAUAAUCCUAAAAAACCGCGUGUAUGAGAUCCAAUCCAAUAACCCAUAAAUUCUUACAUCAAAAACACGACCCAUGUCCCCAAAUCCAAAAAGGCAGACAAACCAUGCAGUCAACAGCUAAGGUGAUCUCAAAAAUUAAACCCACAUAUCUGAUCUACCACACAAUCAACAAACGAGCUGGAGAAGUAGAUAUAGUCAGCUAAAAGGGAACAAAA
Molecule: unclassified non-coding RNA, 1035 nt
Filed under: Hevea brasiliensis (rubber tree)
Lineage: Eukaryota; Viridiplantae; Streptophyta; Magnoliopsida; Malpighiales; Euphorbiaceae
Source: RNAcentral